GGGUUAAGUCCCGCAACGAGCGCAACCCUCAUUGUUAGUUACUACCAUUCAGUUGAGGACUCUAAUGAGACUGCCAACGAUAAGUUGGAGGAAGGUGGGGAUGACGUCAAAUCAUCAUGCCCUUUAUGACCUGGGCUACAAACGUACUACAAUGGCCAAUACAAAGAGAUGCGAAGCGGUGACGUGGAGCGAACCUCAGAAAGUUGGUCUCAGUUCAGAUUGAAGUCUGCAACUCGACUUCAUGAAGGCGGAAUCGCUAGUAAUCGCGGGUCAGCAGACCGCGGUGAAUACGUUCCCGGGUUU
RNAcentral lists this ribosomal RNA (303 nucleotides) under uncultured Mollicutes bacterium. RNAcentral's name for it is "bacterial SSU rRNA". It matches the Rfam family "Bacterial small subunit ribosomal RNA", at positions 1077 to 1381 of the family's 1533-position model. Lineage: Bacteria; Bacillati; Mycoplasmatota; Mollicutes. The record is from RNAcentral.